RNAcentral lists this unclassified non-coding RNA (427 nucleotides) under Hevea brasiliensis (rubber tree). Lineage: Eukaryota; Viridiplantae; Streptophyta; Magnoliopsida; Malpighiales; Euphorbiaceae. The record is from RNAcentral.
UGGGGUCCAUGGCGAAAGAGAGAAUUUGCACAAUUAUCGUCACAGUGGCGUUAGAAUGACAGUCACUGCCAAGUGCCACCAAUCGGAACAUGUAAAAAGAGGGAGGAAAGUAUCAUAAAACCCCACCUACGCACGCCUUGUAUCUUCGCUACACGCAACCGCAACCUACGGCCGCCCUGACCUCGAAGAUCGGGAGCUGCUCCUUCGCCCCCUCUCCGCACGUAAUUCUCUGCCUUGCUCGACCCAAAAAGAGAAAUAAAAAGGGAAAAACUUUGUAUAAAAAGAGAACAAACUCCGAUCCUCACUGCAUUUUCCCUUUAUUUAUUAUCUCUCUGCCAGCUUGACUUUUGAAUGGGGAAAGUUGAUAAGGUGAAAUGCAAGGCUGAUUCCCAGCGUCACAGAGUGACUCCAUAUCCUUUGCCAUCUU